CAUAUACUCCCUCCGUCCGAAAAUACUUGUCAUCAAAAUAGAUAGAAAGAGAUGUAUCUAGAGCUAAAAUACAUCUAGGUCCAUCCCCUUUUAUCCAUUUUGAUGACAAAUAUUUCCGGACGAAGGGAGUCCUCU
Triticum aestivum (bread wheat) is the source of this 135-nucleotide non-coding RNA. Lineage: Eukaryota; Viridiplantae; Streptophyta; Magnoliopsida; Poales; Poaceae. The record is from Rfam.